Molecule: non-coding RNA, 117 nt
Organism: Melanopsichium pennsylvanicum
Lineage: Eukaryota; Fungi; Basidiomycota; Ustilaginomycetes; Ustilaginales
Source: the annotation of a GenBank genome assembly
AGCUUCUUAGCGCAGUAGGUAGCGCGUUGGGCUCAUAUCUCAUCAUGAGACAAAAAAUCCUUUCCGCCGUAAGGCGUUCCAACCCAAAGGUCGUCGGAUCGAAACCGACAGAAGCUA